AACGAACGCUGGCGGCAGGCCUAACACAUGCAAGUCGAACGCCCUAGCAAUAGGGAGUGGCAGACGGGUGAGUAACGCGUGGGAACGUGCCUUUCGGUUCGGAAUAACUCAGGGAAACUUGAGCUAAUACCGGAUACGCCCUUAGGGGGAAAGAUUUAUUGCCGAAAGAUCGGCCCGCGUCCGAUUAGCUAGUUGGUGAGGUAAAGGCUCACCAAGGCGACGGUCGGUAGCUGGUCUGAGAGGAUGAUCAGCCACACUGGGACUGAGACACGGCCCAGACUCCUACGGGAGGCAGCAGUGGGGAAUAUUGGACAAUGGGCGCAAGCCUGAUCCAGCCAUGCCGCGUGAGUGAUGAAGGCCCUAGGGUUGUAAAGCUCUUUCGACAGGGACGAUAAUGACGGUACCUGGAUAAGAAGCCCCGGCUAACUUCGUGCCAGCCGCCGCCGUAA
Molecule: ribosomal RNA, 449 nt
Filed under: uncultured bacterium
Lineage: Bacteria
Description: partial 16S ribosomal RNA
Rfam family: Bacterial small subunit ribosomal RNA
Source: RNAcentral